GGGCCUUCCACCAAGGCGCAGGGAAGGCCAGGAUUAUGCCGCUGCAGCUGCAGGAGGGGCUGGUAAUAAGUGGCAAGAGUUCUCUUUCUCACAAGGCAGGCAAGGAAGCAGUGGGGGCCGAACAGGGUAUAAUGCUGGUAGAUUUGCCUCGUCAAGGGACAGAACUGGCCAGGCACGAACUCAUGGUGGUCGAUAUCAGACAAAUGCAGCUGCUAAGGGAGGCCAUAAUAUGGAUGGAUCUCGCAUGGUGAAUCUUAACAGGGGUAUUCGUGCUUAGUUAAGUGGAGCAUACAAAUUUUUGCUGUGAGAGAACACAACAUUUGACACACAUCCCAAAUAAUCAUUUUUCAGACCUUUAUUUUGUAGUAGUUUAGAAUUUCGCUAGUUGGUAUCCAAACAAUCGUACAAAGUAUUCUGUUGAACCUUUCUAUAGUGAAAGUCUCAUCCCAUUAAACUAGGACUUUGUUCU
Molecule: unclassified non-coding RNA, 469 nt
Filed under: Hevea brasiliensis (rubber tree)
Lineage: Eukaryota; Viridiplantae; Streptophyta; Magnoliopsida; Malpighiales; Euphorbiaceae
Source: RNAcentral